CGGGACGGGUGAGUAACGCGUGGGUAACCUGCCUUAUACAGGGGGAGUAACAGUCAGAAAUAGGCUGCUAAUACCGCAUAAGCGCACAGAGCUGCAUGGCUCAGUGUGAAAAACUCCGGUGGUAUAAGAUGGACCCGCGUUGGAUUAGCUAGUUGGUGAGGUAACGGCCUACCAAGGCGACGAUCCAUAGCCGGCCUGAGAGGGUGAACGGCCACAUUGGGACUGAGACACGGCCCAGACUCCUACGGGAGGCAGCAUG
This 259-nucleotide ribosomal RNA is filed under the name uncultured bacterium. Its description in RNAcentral is "partial 16S ribosomal RNA". It matches the Rfam family "Bacterial small subunit ribosomal RNA", at positions 98 to 353 of the family's 1533-position model. The record is from RNAcentral.